RNAcentral lists this ribosomal RNA (379 nucleotides) under uncultured Prevotella sp. RNAcentral's name for it is "bacterial SSU rRNA". It matches the Rfam family "Bacterial small subunit ribosomal RNA", at positions 355 to 731 of the family's 1533-position model. Lineage: Bacteria; Pseudomonadati; Bacteroidota; Bacteroidia; Bacteroidales; Prevotellaceae. The record is from RNAcentral.
UGAGGAAUAUUGGUCAAUGGACGUAAGUCUGAACCAGCCAAGUAGCGUGCAGGAUGACGGCCCUAUGGGUUGUAAACUGCUUUUAUGCGGGGAUAAAGUGGGGGAUGUAUCCCUUUUUGCAGGUACCGCAUGAAUAAGGACCGGCUAAUUCCGUGCCAGCAGCCGCGGUAAUACGGAAGGUCCGGGCGUUAUCCGGAUUUAUUGGGUUUAAAGGGAGCGUAGGCUGUCUGGUAAGCGUGUUGUGAAAUGUAGGCGCUCAACGUCUGAAUUGCAGCGCGAACUACCGGACUUGAGUGCGCAGGAAGUAGGCGGAAUUUGUGGUGUAGCGGUGAAAUGCUUAGAUAUCACGAAGAACUCCGAUUGCGAAGGCAGCUUACUG